RNAcentral lists this unclassified non-coding RNA (220 nucleotides) under Hevea brasiliensis (rubber tree). The record is from RNAcentral. Lineage: Eukaryota; Viridiplantae; Streptophyta; Magnoliopsida; Malpighiales; Euphorbiaceae.
GGUUGUACAAAUGGAAGGAUGGAUUAUCUGCACCCAGGUGGAGCUGCCAAAUUUACGUUUCGCAAUCGAAACGGGACGUUUAGGAAGCGUCGGGAAAUAGUAAAACGGUGCGUGCAAACUGCAAACUGCAAAACCAAUACAUCCUGUUGCUUUAUUUGUUCCCUGGGCCUCCUAUCCCUAAUCGGCGGCCAAUAAAAACGUAUCAAAGACACAGAUCACA